UACGAAGGGGGCUAGCGUUGCUCGGAAUCACUGGGCGUAAAGCGCACGUAGGCGGACUCUUAAGUCGGUGGUGAAAUCCUGGAGCUCAACUCCAGAACUGCCUUCGAUACUGAGAGUCUCGAGUCCGGGAGAGGUGAGUGGAACUGCGAGUGUAGAGGUGAAAUUCGUAGAUAUUCGCAAGAACACCAGUGGCGAAGGCGGCUCGCUGGCGCGGUACUGACGCUGAGGCACGAAAGCGUGGGGAGCAAACAGG
RNAcentral lists this ribosomal RNA (253 nucleotides) under uncultured bacterium. RNAcentral describes it as "partial 16S ribosomal RNA". It matches the Rfam family "Bacterial small subunit ribosomal RNA", at positions 524 to 776 of the family's 1533-position model. The record is from RNAcentral.